GAGAGCCCUGCUGCAGAGCCUCCGGCUGGGAUAGCCGCCCCCCGUGGGGGCGAUGCGGACAGCGCGGGACAGCCAGGGGAGCGCGCGGGGGCCGCAGCAUGCGGGAACCCGCUAAACCCGG
RNAcentral lists this long non-coding RNA (121 nucleotides) under Canis lupus familiaris (dog). RNAcentral describes it as "lncRNA (ENSCAFG00030009430.1)". Lineage: Eukaryota; Metazoa; Chordata; Mammalia; Carnivora; Canidae. The record is from RNAcentral.